This is a long non-coding RNA of Saccoglossus kowalevskii, 329 nucleotides long. The record is from RefSeq and is a predicted model, not a curated record. Lineage: Eukaryota; Metazoa; Hemichordata; Enteropneusta; Harrimaniidae.
CGGAGGAUGUGAAGGAAACAACAAUAAUUUUGAGACGGAAGAAGCGUGUAGACGACAUUGCGAUGGACCAUGCCCCUGUCCUGAAGGAUUUCUGGGUCAAGUCUGUUGGUUGAAUUGUGACGUUUGUGAUGAACAUGCAUCAACGACGCCAAACUAUAUUUGUUGCGAUGACGGUAGCUGCCCGGCACCAGCAUGUCUUGGAGGAGUAUACACGCCAGAAGGAUUUUGUGAGUUGGACUGUGAGUAUUACUCGCCAGGAGAUGUAGUAAACGAAGAUUGUAAAAUAUGCGUUUGUAGAGAAAGGGGAUUGGAUUUGUCGACCUGACCUG